Molecule: long non-coding RNA, 486 nt
Organism: Hydra vulgaris (swiftwater hydra)
Lineage: Eukaryota; Metazoa; Cnidaria; Hydrozoa; Anthoathecata; Hydridae
Source: RefSeq, a predicted model, not a curated record
GAAAAAGAGCUGAAAUUUUGAUAUUUUGUUCAUAAUAGUAAUAAAAUUCAUUUGAGAGAAGAUUUUUUUUUAACGCAUAAUUCUUGAAAUUUCCUCAUAAUUAAUCUUGUUUGACUCCUUUAAUUUGUAUUACGGUAGUGUUGAUGGCUAUUAAUGAGGUUGAUCAACACGAACGCUAACGAGCUGUUUCACGAACGAGCUGUUUCACGAACGAGCUGUUUCACGAACGAGCUGUUUCACGAACGAGCUGUUUCACGAACGAGCUGUUUCACGAACGAGCUGUUUCACGAACGAGCUGUUUCACGAACGAGCUGUUUCACGAACGUGCUGUUUCACGAACGAGCUGUUUCACGAACGAGCUGUUUCAAGAGUGUUGAGAAUCAUAGUUAAAGCAACAGUGUUAAAACUUGCAAAAGAAAAGAAAAAGUAGCAACAAACAACGUAACACAUAUUUAUUUUUUGAAUAUGUCGACAUUCAAGGAUAAA